GAAGAAGGUACAAUGAUCUCAAAAGCUCCUUUAUUUGAGAAGUAUUACACAAGAAGUUACAUCAUUAUAAGAAGCAACAUCCACACGUGACAGCACGUGUUCAGGUAACCAUUGGCAUGGGACCCUCUGCUGCUGUGGCUUUCACAAACGGCUCAAGAAUCGCUUCUUAUAGCUAUCAACAUGUUCCCGUGGAUCGCCCCUUGUUUUUC
Molecule: unclassified non-coding RNA, 209 nt
Filed under: Hevea brasiliensis (rubber tree)
Lineage: Eukaryota; Viridiplantae; Streptophyta; Magnoliopsida; Malpighiales; Euphorbiaceae
Source: RNAcentral